This 253-nucleotide ribosomal RNA is filed under the name uncultured bacterium. Its description in RNAcentral is "partial 16S ribosomal RNA". It matches the Rfam family "Bacterial small subunit ribosomal RNA", at positions 524 to 776 of the family's 1533-position model. The record is from RNAcentral.
UACGGAGGGUGCAAGCGUUAUCCGGAUUCACUGGGGUUAAAGGGUGCGUAGGUGGCUUGGUAAGUCAGUGGUGAAAUCUCCGGGCUUAACCCGGAAACUGCCAUUGAUACUAUCAGUCUUGAAUACCGUGGAGGUCAGUAGAAUAUGUCAUGUAGCGGUGAAAUGCUUAGAUAUGACAUAGAAUACCAAUUGCGAAGGCAGCUGGCUACACGAAUAUUGACACUCAGGCACGAAAGCGUGGGGAUCAAACAGG